GCGGGAGUAGCUCAGUUGGUAGAGCGCAACCUUGCCAAGGUUGAGGUCGCGAGUUCGAGACUCGUCUCCCGCUCCA
This 76-nucleotide transfer RNA is filed under the name Helicobacter pylori. RNAcentral's name for it is "tRNA-Gly". It matches the Rfam family "tRNA". From Rfam's summary of the family: Transfer RNA (tRNA) molecules are approximately 80 nucleotides in length. Their secondary structure includes four short double-helical elements and three loops (D, anti-codon, and T loops). Lineage: Bacteria; Pseudomonadati; Campylobacterota; Epsilonproteobacteria; Campylobacterales; Helicobacteraceae. RNAcentral also lists the same sequence under 1208 other names. The record is from RNAcentral.